Molecule: ribosomal RNA, 772 nt
Filed under: Bacillus sp. CE(2010)
Lineage: Bacteria; Bacillati; Bacillota; Bacilli; Caryophanales; Bacillaceae
Description: bacterial SSU rRNA
Rfam family: Bacterial small subunit ribosomal RNA
Source: RNAcentral
CUCAGGAUGAACGCUGGCGGCGUGCCUAAUACAUGCAUGUCGAGCGAAUGGAUUAAGAGCUUGCUCUUAUGAAGUUAGCGGCGGACGGGUGAGUAACACGUGGGUAACCUGCCCAUAAGACUGGGAUAACUCCGGGAAACCGGGGCUAAUACCGGAUAACAUUUUGAACUGCAUGGUUCGAAAUUGAAAGGCGGCUUCGGCUGUCACUUAUGGAUGGACCCGCGUCGCAUUAGCUAGUUGGUGAGGUAACGGCUCACCAAGGCAACGAUGCGUAGCCGACCUGAGAGGGUGAUCGGCCACACUGGGACUGAGACACGGCCCAGACUCCUACGGGAGGCAGCAGUAGGGAAUCUUCCGCAAUGGACGAAAGUCUGACGGAGCAACGCCGCGUGAGUGAUGAAGGCUUUCGGGUCGUAAAACUCUGUUGUUAGGGAAGAACAAGUGCUAGUUGAAUAAGCUGGCACCUUGACGGUACCUAACCAGAAAGCCACGGCUAACUACGUGCCAGCAGCCGCGGUAAUACGUAGGUGGCAAGCGUUAUCCGGAAUUAUUGGGCGUAAAGCGCGCGCAGGUGGUUUCUUAAGUCUGAUGUGAAAGCCCACGGCUCAACCGUGGAGGGUCAUUGGAAACUGGGAGACUUGAGUGCAGAAGAGGAAAGUGGAAUUCCAUGUGUAGCGGUGAAAUGCGUAGAGAUAUGGAGGAACACCAGUGGCGAAGGCGACUUUCUGGUCUGUAACUGACACUGAGGCGCGAAAGCGUGGGGAGCAAACAG